AAGAUUGAUGAUGAAGACUUGAUCUUGUACAUCAUCGCCGGACUUGACAAAGAAUACGACCCUGUGGUUUCAUCUCUGGUCGGCCGACCAGAUGCAAUCAUGGUGAGUGAAGCCUAUGUGCAACUGCUUAGCUUCGACC
Molecule: small nucleolar RNA, 139 nt
Filed under: Leersia perrieri
Lineage: Eukaryota; Viridiplantae; Streptophyta; Magnoliopsida; Poales; Poaceae
Description: snoRNA snoZ247
Rfam family: Small nucleolar RNA Z247
About the family: Z247 is a member of the C/D class of snoRNA which contain the C (UGAUGA) and D (CUGA) box motifs. Most of the members of the box C/D family function in directing site-specific 2'-O-methylation of substrate RNAs.
Source: Rfam by way of RNAcentral